This is a long non-coding RNA of Monodelphis domestica (gray short-tailed opossum), 864 nucleotides long. RefSeq lists it as uncharacterized. The record is from RefSeq and is a predicted model, not a curated record. Lineage: Eukaryota; Metazoa; Chordata; Mammalia; Didelphimorphia; Didelphidae.
UCCUGAGCCUGGUUGAGUCAGAACUCCUAGGAACAGUUCCCCAACUGUCACUCUGAACCUGGGAGGUAAAGAAGAAAAGGUGUGUGCCUGAGACAUCUUGAAACCCAUACAUCAAGCUACUGGACUUUUGAAUAUCUUCUGGCUGUGGUGAGAAGUUAUCUUCCAUCUUCUGCUGGACAGUGCCUGGAGAGCUGAACUUCCUACUUUGAUGAGACCAUCUGUGGACAUCACACCUGGGACUCCAAUAUCUGACUUACCAAGGACUCUCUAUUUUGCAAGGAAAAACUCACCAAUCCAAAUACUGAGUAGAAAAUUCAUCGUCUCAUCUGGAUAACUGAAGAGAUGAGCUGAUUGUUCUGCUAAUCACAAUUCAAUCAGCGAAGGUAACUCAAAACAGGAAUUUAACACUAUUAAAUCCACCUAUAAGUUGAAUGUAGAAUCAUACCACUGCUCAGAAUUUGAAGAAAAAAACAGAAUAGGCUAAUGGGACUAAGUUAUCUUCUUUCAAGUUCCAAUCACAUGUCAAGUGCAAGGUAUUCCCAUUCUUCCAACUGCUUCUCAUAGUGAUGGUAUGGACCUACAGACCUUCAGCAUCCUGGAUACCCUCUUCACCAGAUUAUUAAUGUCUUCCUUAAACUGUUGUAGUCAGAGCAGAGCAUAGAACUUCAGAUGAAGUGUGGAUAUGGCACAGGCCAGUGAUUCUUCAUGCAAGGCUCUGCAAACAGCAUUGGAAGAGAGAGUAUGUCAGUUUUCCACCAGCAACUUCCACCAAGGCACAAGCACACAAGUUUAAAGAGACCUUUUCAUCAUCCUUGAAAGAGACAAUAAGAGCCUUGUACAACAUGAUUAUUAGCUUAUGGUCCA